Rosa chinensis is the source of this 95-nucleotide small nuclear RNA. RefSeq annotates it as U11 spliceosomal RNA. The transcript has a single exon. NCBI's taxonomy places the organism in Eukaryota, Viridiplantae, Streptophyta, Magnoliopsida, Rosales, Rosaceae. The record is from RefSeq and is a predicted model, not a curated record.
AAAAAGGGUCGGUUGGCUAAAUAUGCCACGCUCACCCUUGAUUGGUAAGCGCAGUAUGGAUAUCAAGACAUAUGGCCGACACAAUUUUCCUAUCG